This is a non-coding RNA of Podarcis lilfordi (Lilford's wall lizard), 109 nucleotides long. The record is from the annotation of a GenBank genome assembly. Lineage: Eukaryota; Metazoa; Chordata; Lepidosauria; Squamata; Lacertidae.
GCAGUUAGAAGGCCACCAGGCUGGCAAAGACUGCUCUGGGUUGAGGCAGGACCAGAAGCAGAGUGUUGAACCCAGAGCAGUCUUUGCCAGCCUGGUGGCCUUCAGCUAC